This 255-nucleotide ribosomal RNA is filed under the name uncultured bacterium. Its description in RNAcentral is "partial 16S ribosomal RNA". It matches the Rfam family "Bacterial small subunit ribosomal RNA", at positions 524 to 776 of the family's 1533-position model. The record is from RNAcentral.
UACGAAGGGGGCUAGCGUUGUUCGGAAUUACUGGGCGUAAAGCGCACGUAGGCGGAUAUUUAAGUCAGGGGUGAAAUCCCAGAGCUCAACUCUGGAACUGCCUUUGAUACUGGGUAUCUUGAGUAUGGAAGAGGUAAGUGGAAUUGCGAGUGUAGAGGUGAAAUUCGUAGAUAUUCGCAGGAACACCAGUGGCGAAGGCGGCUUACUGGUCCAUAACUGACGCUGAGGUGCGAAAAGCGUGGGGGAGCAAACAGG